UGCAUAUAGAAAUAAAUAUAAAAUAAUUAGGUAUAACGAAGUUUUGUAUUUUCGUUUCAGUUUUAUGAUGUUUGUCAUUAUUUUGAAGUGUGAUCAUUUUGAAGAUUUUUUUGAUCGAGAUCAACCACGUGCAACUCGAUGAUAUACUGAUAGUAAGUCACCAAAAAUAAGCAUAUAGCAAAUAGUUGGCCACGAUACUCCCCGUUUUGGAUCCAUCUCAUCCAAAUGAUUCUGUAUAAACUGAACGGAAGCAGCAAAAUCAGCCUGAUUAAAUUCGUAUGGCACGUUCCAACCAAGAGGUCCGAAUUUUCUACGUUCUUGAACUACCGUAUGUAGAAACGCAACAGCAUACAGUAAAGGUGGCCACUGUGAUUGCGUACUGUAAUCCAAUGUGUCCUGCGUUACGCCUUGGACUGUAAGCAGGAUUUGGUAAUUUCGUGGUGAUGUACAACAUAAAACCGGGCAUUACAUCGCAUUCUUUGUCACCGACGAUUACUUUCUCGAUGGAACCGGAUUUAAUAAAAUUCUUUUCAAGCACAUUGUCGAG
This is a long non-coding RNA of Bombus impatiens (common eastern bumble bee), 547 nucleotides long. RefSeq lists it as uncharacterized. The record is from RefSeq and is a predicted model, not a curated record. Lineage: Eukaryota; Metazoa; Arthropoda; Insecta; Hymenoptera; Apidae. The transcript has 3 exons.